CUCUCUGGCCACACAAUUCAAACCUUUUCACUGGUGCCCAAAGGAGAGAGAGAAUAAACUUGAACAUUCUGACUUUGAAGGACAUGACCAGGCUAGCCCAGGAGAAAGAUGGAGCACAUAUGGAGCAGAGCUGCCCCAGCCAACCGCUUGAACAUGAAAGACAGAGAAUUGACCAGAAGCAAGCGUCCUUAGAGUGGGGUCGUCAUAUUUGAGAAAUGUGCUACAGGGAUCUAGGACACUGCAUUGCCUCACAGCUAAAUUCCCACUGGAUUGUUGGUCUGAAUCACCGAUUGAAAAAUCAAAUGUCUUCAGGGACCCGGCAGGAUCCCGAAGGACGCCG
Molecule: long non-coding RNA, 340 nt
Filed under: Homo sapiens (human)
Lineage: Eukaryota; Metazoa; Chordata; Mammalia; Primates; Hominidae
Description: HSALNT0244485
Source: RNAcentral